RNAcentral lists this ribosomal RNA (390 nucleotides) under uncultured bacterium. RNAcentral's name for it is "bacterial SSU rRNA". It matches the Rfam family "Bacterial small subunit ribosomal RNA", at positions 28 to 418 of the family's 1533-position model. The record is from RNAcentral.
GACGAACGCUGGCGGCGUGCUUAACACAUGCAAGUCGAGCGGUAAGGCCCUUUCGGGGGUACACGAGCGGCGAACGGGUGAGUAACACGUGGGUGACCUGCCCUCAGCUCUGGGAUAAGCCUGGGAAACCGGGUCUAAUACUGGAUAUGACUCCAUGACGCAUGUUGUGGGGUGGAAAGCCUUGUGCGGCUGAGGAUGGGCCCGCGGCCUAUCAGGCUUGUUGGUGGGGUGANGGCCUACCAAGGCGACGACGGGUAGCCGGCCUGAGAGGGCGACCGGCCACACUGGGACUGAGACACGGCCCAGACUCCUACGGGAGGCAGCAGUGGGGAAUCUUGCGCAAUGGGCGAAAGCCUGACGCAGCGACGCCGCGUGAGGGAUGACGGCCUU